This 433-nucleotide ribosomal RNA is filed under the name uncultured bacterium. Its description in RNAcentral is "partial 16S ribosomal RNA". It matches the Rfam family "Bacterial small subunit ribosomal RNA", at positions 29 to 507 of the family's 1533-position model. The record is from RNAcentral.
AACGAACGCUGGCGGCAGGCCUAACACAUGCAAGUCGAGCGAGGACUUCGGUUCUAGCGGCGGACGGGUGAGUAACGCGUGGGAAUGUGCCCUUCUCUACGGAAUAGCCCUGGGAAACUGGGAGUAAUACCGUAUACGCCCUAUUGGGGAAAGAUUUAUCGGAGAAGGAUCAGCCCGCGUUGGAUUAGGUAGUUGGUGGGGUAAUGGCCUACCAAGCCGACGAUCCAUAGCUGGUUUGAGAGGAUGAUCAGCCACACUGGGACUGAGACACGGCCCAGACUCCUACGGGAGGCAGCAGUAGGGAAUCUUAGACAAUGGGGGCAACCCUGAUCUAGCCAUGCCGCGUGAGUGAUGAAGGCCUUAGGGUUGUAAAGCUCUUUCAGCUGGGAAGAUAAUGACGGUACCAGCAGGAGAAGCCCCGGCUAACUCCGUG